This 342-nucleotide unclassified non-coding RNA is filed under the name soil metagenome. Its description in RNAcentral is "partial contains 5.8S ribosomal RNA, internal transcribed spacer 2, and large subunit ribosomal RNA". The stretch from base 1 to 120 matches the Rfam family "5.8S ribosomal RNA", at positions 35 to 154 of the family's 154-position model. The record is from RNAcentral.
GAUGAAGAACGCAGCGAAAUGCGAUAAGUAAUGUGAAUUGCAGAAUCCAGUGAAUCAUCGAAUCUUUGAACGCACAUUGCGCCCGCCAGCAUUCUGGCGGGCAUGCCUGUUCGAGCGUCAUUUCAACCCUCGACCUCCCCUUGGGGAGGUCGGCGUUGGGGACCGGCAGCACACCGCCGGCCCUGAAAUGGAGUGGCGGCCCGUCUGCGGCGACCUUUGCGUAGUAAUACAGCUCGCACCGGAACCCCGACGCGGCCACGCCGUAAAACACCCAACUUCUGAACGUUGACCUCGAAUCAGGUAGGACUACCCGCUGAACUUAAGCAUAUCAAUAGCGGAGGA